UUGAACAUGUUGUGGAUAUGUGGUGGUAUUGAACAUGUUGUGGAUAUGUUGUGGUAUUAAACAUGUUGUGUUGUGGAUAUGUGGUGGUAUUGAUUAUGUUAUGGAUAUGUUGUGGUAUUGAACAUGUUGUGUUGUGGAUAUGUGGUGGUAUUAAACAUGUUGUGCUGUGGAUAUGUGGUGGCAUUGAACAUGUUGUGGAUAUGUGGUGGUAUUGAACAUGUUGUGGAUAUGUGGUGGUAUUGAACAUGUUGUGGAUAUGUGGAGGUAUUGAACAUGUUGUGGAUAUGUGGUGGUAUUGAACAUGUGGAUAUGUUGUGGUAUUAAACAUGUUGUGUUGUGGAUAUGCGUUUGUAUUGAACAUUUUGUGGUAUUGUACAUGUUGUGGAUAUGUGGUGGUAUUGAACAUGUUGUGGAUAUGUGGUGGUAUUGAACAUGUUGUGUUGUGGAUAUGUGGUGGUAUUGAUUAUGUUAUGGAUAUGUUGUGGUAUUGAACAUGUUGUGUUGUGGAUAUGUGGAGGUAUUGAACAUGUUGUGGAUAUGUGGUGGUAUUGAACAUGUUGUGGAUAUGUGGUGGUAUUGAACAUGUUGUGUUGUGGAUAUGUGGUGGUAUUGAUUAUGUUAUGGAUAUGUUGUGGUAUUGAACAUGUUGUGGAUAUGUUGUGGUAUUGAACAUGUUGUGCUGUGGAUAUGUGGUGGUAUUGAUUAUGUUGUGGAUAUGUGGUGGCAUUGAACAUGUAGUGGAUAUGUGGUGGUAUUGAACAUGUUGUGGAUAUGUGGAGGUAUUGAACAUGUGGUUAUGUGGAGGUAUUGAACAUGUUGUGGAUAUGUGGUGGUAUUGAACAUGUUGUGGAUAUGUGGUGGUAUUGAACAUGUUGUGUUGUGGAUAUGUGGUGGCAUUGAACAUGUAGUGGAUAUGUGGUGGUAUUGACCAUGUUGUGGAUAUGUGGUGGUAUUGAACAUGUUGUGGAUAUGUGGUGGUAUUGAACAUGUUGUGGAUAUGUGGAGGUAUUGAACAUGUUGUGGUUAUGUGGAGGUAUUGAACAUGUUGUGGAUAUGUGGUGGUAUUGAACAUGUUGUGGAUAUGUGGUGGUAUUGAACAUGUUGUGUUCUGGAUAUGUG
Long non-coding RNA from Oncorhynchus tshawytscha (Chinook salmon), 1119 nucleotides. NCBI's taxonomy places the organism in Eukaryota, Metazoa, Chordata, Actinopteri, Salmoniformes, Salmonidae. The record is from Ensembl.